UAGGGAAUCUUCCGCAAUGGGCGAAAGCCUGACGGAGCAACGCCGCGUGAGUGAUGAAGGUUUUCGGAUCGUAAAACUCUGUUAUUAGGGAAGAACAAAUGUGUAAGUAACUAUGCACGUCUUGACGGUACCUAAUCAGAAAGCCACGGCUAAUUACUUUCCAGCAGCCGCGGUAAUACGUAGGUGUCAAGCGUUAUCCGGAAUUAUUGGGCGUAAAGCGCGCGUAGGCGGUUUUUUAAGUCUGAUGUGAAAGCCCACGGCUCAACCGUGGAGGGUCAUUGGAAACUGGAAAACUUGAGUGCAGAAGAGGAAAGUGGAAUUCCAUGUGUAGCGGUGAAAUGCGCAGAGAUAUGGAGGAACACCAGUGGCGAAAGCGACUUUCUGGUCUGUAACUGACGCUGAUGUGCGAAAGCAUGGGGAUCAAACAGG
Molecule: ribosomal RNA, 429 nt
Filed under: Actinomycetes bacterium
Lineage: Bacteria; Bacillati; Actinomycetota; Actinomycetes
Description: Actinobacteria bacterium partial 16S ribosomal RNA
Rfam family: Bacterial small subunit ribosomal RNA
Source: RNAcentral